This 71-nucleotide ribosomal RNA is filed under the name Rikenellaceae bacterium. Its description in RNAcentral is "partial 16S ribosomal RNA". It matches the Rfam family "Bacterial small subunit ribosomal RNA", at positions 1 to 71 of the family's 1533-position model. Lineage: Bacteria; Pseudomonadati; Bacteroidota; Bacteroidia; Bacteroidales; Rikenellaceae. The record is from RNAcentral.
ACUAUGGAGAGUUUGAUCCUGGCUCAGGAUGAACGCUAGCGGCAGGCCUAACACAUGCAAGUCGAGGGGCA